Molecule: ribosomal RNA, 465 nt
Filed under: uncultured bacterium
Lineage: Bacteria
Description: partial 16S ribosomal RNA
Rfam family: Bacterial small subunit ribosomal RNA
Source: RNAcentral
CUACGGGAUGCAGCAGUGGGGAAUAUUGGACAAUGGGGGAAACCCUGAUCCAGCAAUGCCGCGUGUGUGAAGAAGGCCUGCGGGUUGUAAAGCACUUUCGGUUGGGAGGACUGCUUCUAGCACUAAUAUUGUUGGAAGUUGACGUUACCUUCAGAAGAAGCUCCGGCUAGCUCCGUGCCAGCAGCCGCGGUAAUACGGAGGGUGCAAGCGUUAAUCGGAAUUACUGGGCGUAAAGCGCGCGUAGGCGGCUAGAUCAGUCGGGUGUGAAAGCCCCGGGCUUAACCUGGGAACUGCAUCCGAUACUGUCUAGCUUGAGUACAGGAGAGGAGAGUGGAAUUCCACAUGUAGCGGUGAAAUGCGUAGAUAUGUGGAGGAACACCAAUGGCGAAGGCAGCUCUCUGGCCUGAUACUGACGCUGAGGUGCGAAAGCGUGGGGAGCGAACAGGAUUAGAUACCCCGGUAGUC